UAGUGGGGAGGUAAAGAGCUUACCCAAGGCAGCGAUCGGUAGCUGGUCGAGGAGAAUGAGCAGCCACAUGGAACUGAGACACGCCCAGACUUCUACGGGAGGCAGCAGUGGGGAUUUCGCAAUGACGAAAGCUGACGAGCACGCGCGUGUGGAGAGCUCUGGGCUGUCAUCACUUUUCUCAGGGAGAUUACUGACGGUACUGAGGAAUCAGCCUCGGCUAACUCCGUGCCAGCAGCCGCGGUAAUACGGAGGAGGCAAGCGUUAUCCGGAAUUAUUGGGCGUAAAGCGUCCGCAGGGGGCGCAUCAAGUCUGCUGUUAAAGGCCCGAGCUUAACUCCGGUAGAGCAGUGGAAACUGGUGCGCUAGAGGGCGACAGGGGUAGAGGGAAUUCCCAGUGUAGCGGUGAAAUGCGUAGAGAUUGGGAAGAACACCGGUGGCGAGAGCGCUCUACUGGGUCGCACCUGACCCUCAGGGACGAAAGCUAAGGUAGCGAAAGGGAUUAGAUACCCCUGUAGUCUUAGCCGUAAACGAUGGAUACUAGGCGUGGCUUGUAUCGACCCAAGCCGUGCCGAAGCUAACGCGUUAAGUAUCCCGCCUGGGGAGUACGCACGCAAGUGUGAAACUCAAAGGAAUUGACGGGGGCCCGCACAAGCGGUGGAGGAUGUGGUUUAAUUCGAUGCAACGCGAAGAACCUUACCAGGGCUUGACAGACCGCGAAUCUUCCGGAAAGGGAAGAGUGCCUUCGGGAGCGCGGACACAGGUGGUGCAUGGCUGUCGUCAGCUCGUGUCGUGAGAUGUUGGUUAAGUCCCGCAACGAGCGCAACCCUCGUCCUUAGUUGCCAGCAUUAAGUUGGGCACUCUAGGGAGACUGCCGGUGACAAACCGGAGGAAGGCGAGGAUGACGUCAAGUCAGCAUGCCCCUUAUGCUCUGGGCUACACACGUCCUACAAUGGUCGGGACAAAGGGGAGCGAGCUCGCGAGAGUCAGCGAAUCCCAUCAAACCCGACCUCAGUUCAGAUUGCAGGCUGCAACUCGCCUGCAUGAAGGAGGAAUCGCUAGUAAUCGCAGGUCAGCAUACUGCGGUGAAUUCGUUCCCGGGCCUUGUACACACCGCCCGUCACACCAUGGAAGCUGGCCAAGCCCGAAGUCGUUACCCUAACCUUUC
Molecule: ribosomal RNA, 1164 nt
Filed under: uncultured cyanobacterium
Lineage: Bacteria; Bacillati; Cyanobacteriota
Description: bacterial SSU rRNA
Rfam family: Bacterial small subunit ribosomal RNA
Source: RNAcentral